CGGGACACGUGGUAUCCUGUCUGAAUAUGGGGGGACCAUCCUCCAAGGCUAAAUACUCCUGACUGACCGAUAGUGAACCAGUACCGUGAGGGAAAGGCGAAAAGAACCCCGGCGAGGGGAGUGAAAAAGAACCUGAAACCGUGUACGUACAAGCAGUGGGAGCACGCUUAGGCGUGUGACUGCGUACCUUUUGUAUAAUGGGUCAGCGACUUAUAUUCUGUAGCAAGGUUAACCGAAUAGGGGAGCCGAAGGGAAACCGAGUCUUAACUGGGCGUUAAGUUGCAGGGUAUAGACCCGAAACCCGGUGAUCUAGCCAUGGGCAGGUUGAAGGUUGGGUAACACUAACUGGAGGACCGAACCGACUAAUGUUGAAAAAUUAGCGGAUGACUUGUGGCUGGGGGUGAAAGGCCAAUCAAACCGGGAGAUAGCUGGUUCUCCCCGAAAGCUAUUUAGGUAGCGCCUCGUGAAUUCAUCUCCGGGGGUAGAGCACUGUUUCGGCAAGGGGGUCAUCCCGACUUACCAACCCGAUGCAAACUGCGAAUACCGG
This 547-nucleotide ribosomal RNA is filed under the name Escherichia coli. RNAcentral's name for it is "partial 23S ribosomal RNA". It matches the Rfam family "Bacterial large subunit ribosomal RNA", at positions 418 to 966 of the family's 2925-position model. Lineage: Bacteria; Pseudomonadati; Pseudomonadota; Gammaproteobacteria; Enterobacterales; Enterobacteriaceae. The record is from RNAcentral.